RNAcentral lists this unclassified non-coding RNA (253 nucleotides) under uncultured Idiomarinaceae bacterium. RNAcentral describes it as "contains 16S-23S intergenic spacer region". It matches the Rfam family "Bacterial small subunit ribosomal RNA", at positions 524 to 776 of the family's 1533-position model. Lineage: Bacteria; Pseudomonadati; Pseudomonadota; Gammaproteobacteria; Alteromonadales; Idiomarinaceae. The record is from RNAcentral.
UACGGAGGGUGCGAGCGUUAAUCGGAACUACUGGGCGUAAAGGGCUCGUAGGCGGUUUGUUAAGCAAGAUGUGAGAGCCCAGGGCUCAACCUUGGAAUUGCAUUUUGAACUGGCAAGCUAGAGUUUUGAAGAGGGUGGUAGAAUUUCCAGUGUAGCGGUGAAAUGCGUAGAUAUUGGAAGGAAUACCAGUGGCGAAAGCGGCCACCUGGUCAAAAACUGACGCUGAGGCGCGAAAGCGUGGGGAGCAAACAGG